AUCUAUGGCCAUGCCACCCUGAACAUGCCUGAUCUCGUCUGAUCUCGGAAGCUAAGCAGGGUCGGGCCUGGUUAGUUCUUGGAUGGGAGACCACCUAGGAAUACCAGGUGCUGUAGGCA
Molecule: ribosomal RNA, 119 nt
Filed under: Pteropus alecto (black flying fox)
Lineage: Eukaryota; Metazoa; Chordata; Mammalia; Chiroptera; Pteropodidae
Source: RNAcentral